UACUGUGUCCUCCUAUCCAUGG
RNAcentral lists this microRNA (22 nucleotides) under Canis lupus familiaris (dog). RNAcentral's name for it is "cfa-miR-8821". Lineage: Eukaryota; Metazoa; Chordata; Mammalia; Carnivora; Canidae. The record is from miRBase by way of RNAcentral.